GUCAACAAAGCCGCGGGCCAGUAGCACGUAAGCAUGGCCAGAACGCAUAGCCAAUAAGAAUGCUUCUUCAAGAAACAUCAUGCAACGCGUGACAGUAAACCCUUAUGGAUCAAACCCACUUUUAGCAGCAACAUAAUAUUUCCAGUAUCAACAUGUUCAUCACUACAAACCCCAGCUCAAAAAUUUUUCUCUCCAAAUUCAAAAACAAA
This 209-nucleotide long non-coding RNA is filed under the name Lathyrus oleraceus (garden pea). RNAcentral's name for it is "Pisum sativum (pea) long non-coding RNA (PSAT_LNC023395)". The record is from RNAcentral. Lineage: Eukaryota; Viridiplantae; Streptophyta; Magnoliopsida; Fabales; Fabaceae.